Molecule: ribosomal RNA, 2529 nt
Filed under: freshwater metagenome
Description: bacterial LSU rRNA
Rfam family: Bacterial large subunit ribosomal RNA (bases 819-2529)
Source: RNAcentral
CCAUGGUUUUUUCUUGGAACAGGGGACACGUCGCCAGCUGGAAGACGUGGAGUGGGAUCGUGCACUGUCAGACGUGCCGAUUGAACGACUGAGCCGAGAGUUUUUAAAGGCACUUGCUGCUCCCUAUCCUGAACGUUUUUUGAAAGAGAUGCUGGACUGCUCGCUAGGGCGGGAAUUUCUGCCGGAAUGGUUCGUUAUGCAGGGGAUCCCGGCUGGACCACCGGAAAAACAUCCUGAGGGCUCACUGGCAAACCAUGUGCUGUUGGUACUCGAGCAGCUCGCCACCCUAACAGAUGAUCCUCUGGCGCGUUUUUGUGCCUUUGGACAUGAUUUGGGCAAGUGUUGUACUGACCCGGUCAGUUAUCCCCGUCAUAUUGGCCACGAUCUCGCUGGGGUAGCUUUGGCGCGGGUUCUUUGUGAUCGACUGAAGCUACCGGUAACCUAUCGUGAAGCAUUGAUGGGGGUCUGUCGCUGGCAUACGCUGAUGAACCGCUGGGAUGAACUUCGGGAUGAAACCCGGCUUAAAGUUGCCUAUGCAGCCAAACGGGGGGGAUUCUAUCACCUGUUGCCACUGGUCUCCCAGGCUGAUACCGGCCGUCAGGCCGAUAUGCGGAGUUGGGAUGCGGCCGGGCGGGCAGUCAGUGCCAGUGCAGAAAUGCUUGGGGUUAGUGAGGAACAACUGAUGGCCUGUCCACCGGACAAACGUGGCGGGCUGCUUAUGAAGGCCCGGACGUCUUGGUUUCGGGACUAUCUACACGGAGGAUCUGACUGAUGACUGACACGAAUUAUCCUGAAAAGCGAGAGCGGUUGAUGCCCUCGGCCUCGAAGACGAGGCUCUGGUUGGGCGUGGGCUUCCACUGGAAGGUGACGUUGGCGUAGCCCUCGCGGAGGAAUUCGAACUGCUGGUCGCCGCCGGCGUCGAGGUAGGCGACGUUGGCGAGGACGGCGAAUUUCUUGGUAGGGGAGCAUUCUAACAGGGUUGAAGGUUUAGCGUGAGCUAUGCUGGACUGGUUAGAAAAGCAAAUGUAGGCAUAAGUAACGAUAAUGCGGGCGAGAAACCCGCACACCGAAAAACUAAGGUUUCCUCAGCUAUGCUAAUCAGCUGAGGGUUAGUCGGGUCCUAAGGCAUAUCCGAAAGGAGCAGUCGAUGGCCAACGGGUUAAUAUUCCCGUACUACUGUUAAUUGUGAUGGGGUGACGGAGUGAUGAAAGUACCGCGAACUGACGGAAUAGUUCGUUAAAGCACCUAGCUAUAGGCUCUAUAGGCAAAUCCGUAGAGUUUGGUGAAAUGCGAUAGUACACGGAGGCUUCGGCCAAAGUGAUAGUGUACCUAAGGGCUUCCAAGAAAAACCUCUAAACUUAGAUUAACAGUACCCGUACCGUAAACCGACACAGGUAGUUGAGGAGAGAAUCCUAAGGUGCUCGAGAGAUUCAUGGCUAAGGAAUUAGGCAAAAUAGACCUGUAACUUCGGGAGAAAGGUCGCCAGCGCAAGCUGGCCGCAGUGAAGAGGUCCAGGCGACUGUUUAUCAAAAACACAGGGCUCUGCAAAAUCGUAAGAUGAAGUAUAGGGCCUGACACCUGCCCGGUGCUGGAAGGUUAAGAGGAGAUGUUAUCUUCGGAGAAGCAUUGAAUUGAAGCCCCAGUAAACGGCGGCCGUAACUAUAACGGUCCUAAGGUAGCGAAAUUCCUUGUCGGGUAAGUUCCGACCUGCACGAAUGGUGUAACGAUCUGGACACUGUCUCAGCCAUGAGCUCGGUGAAAUUGUAGUAUCGGUGAAGAUGCCGAUUACCCGCAGUGGGACGAAAAGACCCUGUGCACCUUUACUAUAGCUUAGUAUUGGUCUUGGAUAAGUGAUGUGUAGGAUAGGUGGGAGACUGUGAAAUGGCGUCGCCAGGCGUUGUGGAGUCAUUGUUGAAAUACCACCCUUUGCUUAUCUGAGGUCUAACCCCGCGAAUGUGGGGGACAUUGCUUGGUGGGUAGUUUGACUGGGGUGGUCGCCUCCAAAAGAGUAACGGAGGCUUCUAAAGGUUCCCUCAGCACGCUUGGUAACCGUGCGUAGAGUGCAAUGGCAUAAGGGAGCUUGACUGAGAGACAUACAGGUCGAUCAGGUACGAAAGUAGAGCAUAGUGAUCCGGUGGUUCCGCAUGGAAGGGCCAUCGCUCAAAGGAUAAAAGGUACGCCGGGGAUAACAGGCUGAUCUCCCCCAAGAGCUCAUAUCGACGGGGGGGUUUGGCACCUCGAUGUCGGCUCGUCACAUCCUGGGGCUGGAGAAGGUCCCAAGGGUUGGGCUGUUCGCCCAUUAAAGUGGCACGCGAGCUGGGUUCAGAACGUCGUGAGACAGUUCGGUCUCUAUCUACUGUGGGCGCAAGAAAUUUGAGUGGAUCUGAUUCUAGUACGAGAGGACCGAAUUGGACAAACCUCUGGUGUAUCUGUUGUUCCGCCAGGAGCACCGCAGAGUAGCUACGUUUGGAAGGGAUAAGCGCUGAAAGCAUAUAAGCGCGAAACCCACCACAAGAUGAGAUUUCUUUU